CGGGAGCGGGGCGCAGUAACAGAAAUGUGGAAAAAAUGAAUAAAAUGGGUUUGCCAGCUACUAAUCUGCAGAACAAAUAUCCGCAGUGGAUGCUUACCCAAAGCCAAGAGGAAGUUUCGGGUGAUAAAAAGAAGUCUGCUUUUCAGAGGAGUGUUUUGGAAGAUGGGCUGCCAUUCCUAGAGUUCCGUGGCUCUGUUGUAUACAGCUAUGAAGUCAGUGACUGUUCCCUCCUCUCAGAAGAUAUCAGGCAAAGUUUAUCAGAUGGGGCUGCUGUUGGAUUUGAUAUUGAAUGGCCACCAUCAUAUACUAAAGGAAAAAUGGCCAAAAUAGCAGUAAUCCAGAUAUGUGUAUCUGAGGAGAAGUGUUAUUUGUUCCACAUCUCUUCCAUGUCAGGUUUUCCCAAGGGACUCAAAAGACUGCUUGAAGAUGAAACAAUUAAAAAGGUUGGCGUAGGAGUUGAGGGAGAUCAAUGGAAGCUGAUGAGUGACUUUGAAAUCAAACUGAAGAGCUUUGUGGAGCUGGCUGACGUUGCUAAUGAGAAACUGAGGUGUAAGGAGAUCUGGAGUCUAAAUGGUCUGGUAAAACACCUUUUUGGCAAGCAGCUUUUGAAGGAUAAGUCUGUCCGCUGUAGUAACUGGAAGGAGUUUCCACUCAACGAGGAGCAAAAAUUGUAUGCAGCCACAGAUGCCUAUGCUGGUUUUAUCAUUUACAAAAAACUGAACAAUAUGAAUAACAGUGACCAGAAAGUACUUUGUGGAAGAAGAGAUGACAUGGGUGUGAAGGAGCACUUGACUUCACUAGCUGCAGAAAUAACAGAUCUGGCUUCUCGCAUCCCUGACUCUUCUGGGCAACUUGUAAAUGUGCAGAGGGCUGCAGAAAUAAUAGCUGACAUAUCGGAGAAUGUAACUGCCUUAAGAAGCGUGCUGUUUGGUUCAGGUUGUCCUUCUGUACUGGAGAAGAGCUGUGGCACAAGUCCAACAAAUCUUGAAGCAGAGUCAUCAAAUAUUGAAGCACAGGAAGUUGAAAUGCCUCAAUUAGCUAAACAACUUGAAGGUGACUUCAACAUCUGCUCUGAUGCUACCCUUGCUGGCUUCUGGGAGGAAGAUCUUAAAGAAGAAGCAGCAGAGAGAGGCAACACUGUAGAAGAUAGGGCUGCAGCAGCCAGCUCUAAGGACAAAGCGGACAGAGAGGACUUCAUGUCACUAGACAUUACUGAGCAGGAACUUCAGGUCUUGGAAUAUCAGGCUGCAGAAGAAUUCGCCAAGGAAGCUGCAGCUGAGGAGGCGUGCUCCACAGACAAUGAGCAAAAUCUUUCCUAUGUCAUUGAAAGUGAUGAAGAAUUGGAAAUGGAGAUGCUUAAAUCUUUAGAAAAUGUAGAUGAUGCUGAAGGAGCUUUAAGUGGAAGAGAGUCCAAUAAAGCCAGGAGAAGUCCUGACGCAGAAUUGAACAUUUCACCAGAUGGUGAUGGUGAUGAAGAUGUUGAGGAAGAAGAGGAGGAAUGUUUGGAUCCAUUGCUGCCACUACCUAGUGAAAGACACAGCACCUGUCUGAAGACAUGCUUUGGGCAUUCUUCUUUUAAGCCGGUCCAGUGGAAAGUGAUCAAUUCUCUUCUGGAAGACAGAAGAGAUAAUCUCGUCGUCAUGGCAACUGGCUAUGGAAAAAGCUUGUGCUACCAGUUUCCUCCUGUUUACACUGGACUUACAGGAAUUGUCAUCUGUCCUCUUAUCUCCUUGAUGGAGGACCAGGUGCUGCAGUUGACCAUGUCAGGUAUUCCAGCUUGCUUACUUGGUUCAGCUCAGUCGAAAAACAUCAAAGAAUGCAUCAAAGGGGGGCAGUACAGAGUCAUAUAUAUGACUCCAGAGUUUUGUUCAGGGAACUUGGACUUGCUUCAGGAGCUUGAUCAAACUAUUGGUAUUACCCUCAUAGCUGUUGAUGAAGCUCAUUGCAUUUCUGAGUGGGGCCAUGACUUCAGAAAUUCCUUUAGAACGUUAGGCUCACUGAAGAAGGCUCUGCCAUCGGUUCCCAUUGUUGCUUUAACUGCAACCGCAAGUCCGUCGAUUAGGGAGGACAUAGUGAAUUGUCUGAACCUGAAGAAUCCUCAGGUCACGUGUACUAGUUUUGACAGACCUAACCUGUACUUAGAAGUUGGACAACAAAGUGGAAAUAUCCUUAGGGAUUUGAAGCAGUUCCUUAUUAGGAAAGGAAGCAGUUCUGCGUAUGAGUUUGAAGGGCCCACUAUCAUCUACUGCCCUUCCAAAAAAGCCACUGAACAGGUUGUGUCUGAAUUGAUGAAACUCAAUGUGGCCUGUCGUGCAUACCACGCUGGUAUGGGAAUCAAACAAAGGAGAGAGGCCCAUCACCAGUUCAUGAGGGAUGAAAUUCAGUGCGUUGUAGCUACAGUGGCAUUUGGAAUGGGCAUCAAUAAAGCAGAUAUCCGGAUGGUUAUUCAUUACGGUGCCCCUAAGGAAAUGGAAUCCUAUUACCAAGAAAUUGGGAGAGCUGGUCGUGAUGGGCUUCCUGCUGCUUGUCAUGUGUUAUGGACUGCAUCAGACUUGUCUUUCAACAGACAUCUUCUGAGCGAGAUACGCAAUGAAAACUUCCGCUUGUACAAACUGAAGAUGUUGGCAAAAAUAGGGAAGUACCUUGUGUCAAAUAGCUGCAGGAGGAAAAUUAUUCUGUCUCAUUUCGAAGACAAACAACUCCGAAAGGUUUCUUCUGGCAUCAUGGGCACAGAAGAUUGCUGUGAUAACUGCAGGUCCAGGGUGUCUUGUUUUGCAGUCCCCAAUGACUUUGAGGGUGGUUUACAGGACUUUGGGAAGCAAGCGUAUCAGCUGCUCUCUGCAGUGAGCACCCUGGAGGAGAAGUUUGGAACUAGAGUUCCCAUUCUGUUUCUUCGAGGGUCUAGUUCUCAACGCUUGCCAAACAGAUACCGAAGACACCCUCUCUUUGGUAGUGGAAAAGACUGGCCAGAGAACUGGUGGAAAUCGCUCUGCCAACAGUUGAUAAUGGAAGGGUUCCUCAAAGAAGUCUCUAAGUAUAGCAUCUUUGCAACCACAUGCGUGCUUACCCAGAAGGGUAGAAAUUGGCUGUUAAAAGCUGGAUCUGACUCAAAUCCAAGUCUCCUACUGCAGUCCAGUGAAGACCUUAAUCUUCAGAGACCAUCUAGAAGCAGCAAACCUUUACCCGUGCCCUCAACGCAGCGCUCACCAGUUAAGAAAGGAGCAAGGCAGUCUCCAGCGAAGCAGAUGUCUCUGUAUGAUAUGUUUCCAUAUGAGAGAAAAGGUAAAACUUCUCCAGGAAGUGAUAACAUGCUUAACAGUAGUGUUGCAGAGUGCUCGUUGGUCAGAUCUCCUUUGAAGCCUUCAGAACCCGUUGUUUCAUCCCGAGAAAAAGAAUUAGAAACUGCUCUCUAUGGCAAGUUGCUGACUGCUAGACAGAAGAUAGCUAAUGAGAAGGUAAUUCCUCCAGCUGUCUUGGCAACCAAUAAGAUCCUGGUGGAGAUGGCCCGAAUAAGGCCUACGACGAUCGAGAAUGUGAAGAGAAUUGAUGGUGUAUCUGAAGCAAAAUCCACCCUGUUGAUUCCUCUCAUGGCUGAAAUUAAGGACUUCUGCCAAGAAAAUGGUUUGCAGACUGACACAUUCUCUCCGUCUGGGUCUAAAGAUCAGAAAGAAGCAUUUCCCUGGAAGCAUACUAGAGCCCUCUCUCCCUCAGAGCAUGUUACGUAUGUCCUGUUCCAAGAGAAGAAUCUCUCUGUGAGGACUAUCAGUGAGAGCAGAUCUCUGCCUCUUUCUGAGGUUGGCACUCACCUGUGCCAGGCGCUGAAAGCCGGCUACCCUGUCAACCUGGAGCGAGCAGGUUUGACUCCUGAAGUUCACCAGAUGAUUUCUGAUGUUAUCCGUAACCCUCCCAUUGAGUCGGACACCACUAAAAUUCAAGCAAUUAGAAAACUUGUUCCUGCAAAUAUUGAACUGUAUCUCAUCAGGAUGACUAUUGCAUUAUUGGAGAAAGAGGACAGAAAUAAGUCUUGGGAUGGCUCAGGCUUCAAAAGGAUGUUGGUGUGGUCGGAAAGGCAGGAGGAAAAAACAGGAGCAGAUCAAGCAAACAGAGAAGAUGCCACAUGGAGUAAAACAAAGGUCUGCCUCCCUCUCCUGGGAGAGCAAUGCUCAGAGCAGAACCAGAGAGUUCCCCUUGCAAAGUCUUGACCUAGGAAGAAGGCUGCCCCUGUGCAGCCUAGCUGUAAUCUGCUACACAUAGGAAGAGAUCAAAUCAGGUGCCAUGUGAGACUGUCAGCUCAUCUCUACCAUAGUAAGUCCUGGACAUCCAGCCCAAGAAGAUCAGGCACAUGAUGGUCCACUGCUGUAGACCACCACAAUGGCAGCUUAACAGUGGCCUGAGGGGUAAAUGCUUCCUGCUGUAGUUCAGUCCUUCAGGAUGUGGAUGCAAAAGGUCCCCUUUAAAAUCCUGGACUUAGUGUAGCUGGGGCAGUGGAGGAAAAAGCUCAAAUCCCAUGUGCUCCCCAGUCUGAAAACACUUGGAAAUCUGCAUCCUUCAUAGCCACGGAUUCCAUGUUCUGCCCUUGGCUAGCUUCUGUGCCUUGGUAUCUGAUCACCAAUCUGAUAUGGGGAAAAGUAACUCUCUUCCUGCAUAGAAGUCUGAGGUAGCAGAAGAGUUAAGAGUGUGAAAAAGACAGAGGCAAUGCCUGCUGGAAAUGUCUGAGUCUUUCAUGGGUUCCUCUGUUGCUUGAAACUGCUGGGCAUAGAAGUGAUAACAAGAAAAGUGUCAUGCCAUAAGGCUGACUCAUUGGGAAGAAAUCUCAGGAAAUAAGGAGCUCUUUGUUGCUGUUAGAGAAAGGCUGGGCUACCGUCUCCCAAGUUCCAGUUCAGCACCUUGUACGAAUGUACAAAAGGUCACCCUGCACUGGUGGUAAAAAGAAAUUACAAACUCCCAAAUCCUUCUGCUGCUUGCUCUUUUUGUCUUUUCAUGUUUGUCUCUUACAGGAUUUGGGGUUGAUUUUUUUCAACUCUGGCUCAAACAAAUCUUCAAGCCUUGCCAUUUUUCCAAAUUGAUUAUUUCUUGUAUGCGAGUGCUGUUUUGUUUAGACAGUAUCUGUGUCUAAACCAGCCUUUUCCUGGAGUUGACUUCUGGCAGUCCAAUUGCAUGAGCUCAAAUUAUACUUUUUUCCCCUGCUACUGUUAGCUGUUGGAGCUAUUUAACAGGAAUGACAUGCUAUUAGAAAUCAAAUUAAUAUUACACAAAUGAGUAGACUGCAAAUCCAAAACCUAUUCCAAAUAGUCUUUAUUUACUUCUCCUUCAGAAGAUGUGCUGGUUCUAAUAAUUCCUUGUAGCAAACACCUUUUAAAUCUGCUAGUGAAUGUUCUGGGUUUUAACAACCUUACAUUACUGCUGCUUUUAUAGGGUAAUUCAAUCAAUCUGACACCGAAGGAAGGAGCAGAGAAAACCCAUCUGCAAGUGGUGCCUUUGGCUUUGGUAACCAGAUGUUCUUGCUGUAAUAAAGCAUGUAGAAGUGCUGUUAGAGAUGAUCUCAGUAACACCAAAAUGUGUACUUGAUCCAAAAAUCUCAGCUUGCUGUUCCAACCUGUGACUAGCAGGCAUUAUGUAGAAUUUAAUAUCUCUCUGCCCACUAUGCCAUUUUUAACUGACACCUUUGCUGUAAAAACACAUUUGAAAACAGAGUGCUUGAGACAUAAUCGAGUAUUUCAAGUUCUCAGAGCCAUGGGGAUGGAGGAAGUUUUCUUCUUUACUACAACAAAGAGCCAAGUACAAGUUCCACUUCCCUUGUGUUUGAAAUGGAUGUGCUUACUCAAAUUUCAUUGUGGUGAAAUAGAUAAGAAAUAGCAAUCUCAUUAAGCAGAGGUUUACAGACUCAAUUUACUUCCCAAAAAACCCUCCAAAAUGUAGGAUUUGCAUAGAAUCUGGUAUGUGCAGACUUAAGCUUUAAUGCUGAGAUGGAUAUAACAGCCUGCUUUCUUCCUAUUGCAUGGAAAGGCUUUACAGAGCAUGGAUGGUGGCCAGCCAGGUAGUGGAGGAGCAGCAGGAGGCUUCCCAAAGCCCAUCACGCCGGUUUCCCCUAACGAGCCUGCCCUUGAUCCCAAUGAGGAGGAGCUGUCUGCAGACUCUGAGUCCAAGACCUCACAGCCCCCUUUCAAGAGGAAGGUGCCAGAAUGGUUUGGAACUUCAGCAGCGACAGCUCUACCUGUCAACCAAACCAAGAAACACAGAAAAGACACCCAAAAAGGGAUUUUUAGUUGAAUAGAGAAAUUAGGAUGGAUAUUUUUCUAUUAUCAUUUUCUAUAUUAGUUCUCGUCUGUGCUUUGCUUUACAUUGCUACUGCUGCUCGGCGGGUGCGGACAGAGGAAUUACCCCGGGAACGCGUUUAUGCUUUUCACUGUGUGAAAUUUAAUGUUAUUAAAGGAAUAAACAUC
RNA transcript from Strigops habroptila (Kakapo), 6443 nucleotides. It is a transcript of the gene named general transcription factor IIE subunit 2, with no coding region annotated. The record is from RefSeq and is a predicted model, not a curated record. The transcript is spliced from 35 exons. NCBI's taxonomy places the organism in Eukaryota, Metazoa, Chordata, Aves, Psittaciformes, Psittacidae.